RNAcentral lists this ribosomal RNA (253 nucleotides) under uncultured bacterium. RNAcentral's name for it is "partial 16S ribosomal RNA". It matches the Rfam family "Bacterial small subunit ribosomal RNA", at positions 524 to 776 of the family's 1533-position model. The record is from RNAcentral.
UACAGAGGUCCCAAGCGUUGUUCGGAUUCACUGGGCGUAAAGGGUGCGUAGGUGGCGAGGUAAGUCGGAUGUGAAAGCUCGGAGCUCAACUCCGAAAUGGCAUUGGAAACUACCUUGCUCGAGGGUUGGAGGGGGGACUGGAAUGCUUGGUGUAGCAGUGAAAUGCGUAGAUAUCAAGCGGAACACCAGUGGCGAAGGCGGGUCUCUGGACAGUUCCUGACGCUGAGGCACGAAGGCCAGGGGAGCAAACGGG